This 501-nucleotide ribosomal RNA is filed under the name uncultured bacterium. RNAcentral's name for it is "bacterial SSU rRNA". It matches the Rfam family "Bacterial small subunit ribosomal RNA", at positions 791 to 1297 of the family's 1533-position model. The record is from RNAcentral.
UAGUCCACGCCGUAAACGAUGAAUACUAGGUGUCGGCCUGUACGGGUCGGUGCCGCAGCAAAUGCAUUAAGUAUUCCACCUGGGGAGUACGAUCGCAAGGUUGAAACUCAAAGGAAUUGACGGGGGCCCGCACAAGCAGUGGAGCAUGUGGUUUAAUUCGAUGCAACGCGAAGAACCUUACCUGGGCUUGAAAAGCAGUGGACCGACUGUGAAAGCAGUCUUCUCUUCGGAGUCGCUGUACAGGUGCUGCAUGGCUGUCGUCAGCUCGUGCCGUGAGGUGUUGGGUUAAGUUCCGCAACGAGCGCAACCCCUACCAUUAGUUGCCAGCAUUCAGUUGGGCACUCUAAAGGGACUGCCGACGUUAAGUCGGAGGAAGGUGGGGAUGACGUCAAGUCCUCAUGGCCCUUAUGUCCAGGGCGACACACGUGCUACAAUGGAAGAUACAAAGGGUUGCCAAGCCGCGAGGUGGAGCUAAUCCCAAAAAAUCUUUCUAAGUUCGGA